GAUGAACGCUGGCGGCGUGCCUAAUACAUGCAAGUCGAGCGAACGGACGAGAAGCUUGCUUCUCUGAUGUUAGCGGCGGACGGGUGAGUAACACGUGGAUAACCUACCUAUAAGACUGGGAUAACUUCGGGAAACCGGAGCUAAUACCGGAUGAUAUUUUGAACCGCAUGGUUCAAAAGUGAAAGACGGUCUUGCUGUCACUUAUAGAUGCAUCCGCGCUGCAUUAGCUAGUUGGUAAGGUAACGGCUUACCAAGGCAACGAUGCAUAGCCGACCUGAGAGGGUGAUCGGCCACACUGGAACUGAGACACGGUCCAGACUCCUACGGGAGGCAGCAGUAGGGAAGCUUCCGCAAUGGGCGAAAGCCUGACGGAGCAACGCCGCGUGAGUGAUGAAGGUCUUCGGAUCGUAAAACUCUGUUAUUAGGGAAGAACAUAUGUGUAAGUAACUGUGCACAUCUUGACGGUACCUAAUCAGAAAGCCACGGCUAACUACGUG
RNAcentral lists this ribosomal RNA (497 nucleotides) under uncultured bacterium. RNAcentral's name for it is "partial 16S ribosomal RNA". It matches the Rfam family "Bacterial small subunit ribosomal RNA", at positions 28 to 507 of the family's 1533-position model. The record is from RNAcentral.